UACGGGGGGGGCAAGCGUUGUUCGGAAUUACUGGGCGUAAAGGGCUCGUAGGCGGCCAACUAAGUCAAACGUGAAAUCCCUCGGCUUGACCGGGGAACUGCGUCUGAUACUGGAUGGCUUGAGUUUGGGAGAGGGAUGCGGAAUUCCAGGUGUAGCGGUGAAAUGCGUAGAUAUCUGGAGGAACACCGGUGGCGAAGGCGGCAUUCUGGACCGAUAUUGACGCUGAGGAGCGAAAGCCAGGGGAGCAAACGGG
Molecule: ribosomal RNA, 253 nt
Filed under: uncultured bacterium
Lineage: Bacteria
Description: partial 16S ribosomal RNA
Rfam family: Bacterial small subunit ribosomal RNA
Source: RNAcentral